RNAcentral lists this ribosomal RNA (357 nucleotides) under uncultured bacterium. Its description in RNAcentral is "bacterial SSU rRNA". It matches the Rfam family "Bacterial small subunit ribosomal RNA", at positions 8 to 350 of the family's 1533-position model. The record is from RNAcentral.
AGAGUUUGAUCCUGGCUCAGGAUGAACGCUAGCUACAGGCUUAACACAUGCAAGUCGAGGGGAAACGACAUCGAAAGCUUGCUUUUGAUGGGCGUCGACCGGCGCACGGGUGAGUAACGCGUAUCCAACCUGCCCACCACGUUGGGGAUAACCUUGCGAAAGUAAGACUAAUACCCAAUGACGUCUCUAGAAGACAUCUGAAAGAGAUUAAAGAUUUAUCGGUGAUGGAUGGGGAUGCGUCUGAUUAGCUUGGUUGGCGGGGUAACGGCCCGACCAAGGCGACGAUCAGGUAGGGGUUCUGAGAGGAAGGUCCCCACGAUUGGAACUGAGACACGGUCCAAACUCCUACGGGAGGCA